AUGAGUGAGUGAGGAGAGGAAUGAGUGAGUGAGGAGAGGAAUGAGUGAGUGAGGAGAGGAAUGAGUGAGUGAGGAGAGGAAUGAGUGAGUGAGGAGAGGAAUGAGUGAGUGAGGAGAGGAAUGAGUGAGUGAGGAGAGGAAUGAGUGAGUGAGGAGAGGAAUGAAAUGAGUGAGUGAGGAGAGGAAUGAGUGAGUGAGGAGAGGAAUGAGUGAGUGAGGAGAGGAAUGAGUGAGUGAGGAGAGGAAUGAGUGAGUGAGGAGAGGAAUGAGUGAGUGAGGAGAGGAAUGAGUGAGUGAGGAGAGGAAUGAGUGAGUGAGGAGAGGAAUGAGUGAGUGAGGAGAGGAAUGAGUGAGUGAGGAGAGGAAUGAGUGAGUGAGGAGAGGAAUGAGUGAGUGAGGAGAGGAAUGAGUGAGUGAGGAGAGGAAUGAGUGAGUGAGGAGAGGAAUGAGUGAGUGAGGAGAGGAAUGAGUGAGUGAGGAGAGGAAUGAGUGAGUGAGGAGAGGAAUGAGUGAGUGAGGAGAGGAAUGAGUGAGUGAGGAGAGGAAUGAGUGAGUGAGGAGAAGAAUGAGUGAGUGAGGAGAGGAAUGAGUGAGUGAGGAGAGGAAUGAGUGAGUGAGGAGAGGAAUGAGUGAGUGAGGAGAGGAAUGAGUGAGUGAGGAGAGGAAUGAGUGAGUGAG
RNAcentral lists this long non-coding RNA (678 nucleotides) under Homo sapiens (human). RNAcentral's name for it is "HSALNT0256382". The record is from RNAcentral. Lineage: Eukaryota; Metazoa; Chordata; Mammalia; Primates; Hominidae.